UCACAUGGUCUUGAGAGGCGUCCCUUUCCCCAAUUCAGAUUUUCAUUCCUCAUUUCCCUUCUCUCUCUCGAACUCAGAUUUCUUAUAUUCUCUGACUUCUCUCUAACCUUGCUCCACCUUCUUUGUACCAAUUUCUCAAAUUUCCACCGUUGUUAUUUCAAAUAGGUGGUUCCCCUACGUUCCCGGAGUCGAGAGCUUCCAAUCCAUCUGAUUAGUUUCGCGUCUCUCCACUGAUAAGGUACUAUCGGAAUUACCUCUGUGCGGAAGUACUGUUAGGACGCUUUUAGGAACUGUGCUGUGAGAACCAAAAGAUGGCGUGGAGGAUACCUUGGAAACAACUCUUAAUGGAGAUGGAAAUGCCGCUGCGUAGUUCAUUAGACUUUACUUUUCUUAGUCUUAGAUAUUUUGAAGAACUUUAAUUGUUAUGUUUAAAGUUUUAAAUUCCUAUCCUUUUUAGGAGAACUCUAUUUCUCCAAGUUCCUAAAUUCUUGUANUGCUUAAGGAUGACUGUAAUCCUAAUUGUCUCU
This is a long non-coding RNA of Vigna radiata var. radiata (mung bean), 527 nucleotides long. RefSeq lists it as uncharacterized. The transcript has 3 exons. The record is from RefSeq and is a predicted model, not a curated record. NCBI's taxonomy places the organism in Eukaryota, Viridiplantae, Streptophyta, Magnoliopsida, Fabales, Fabaceae.